This 94-nucleotide ribosomal RNA is filed under the name Salmonella enterica. RNAcentral describes it as "partial 16S ribosomal RNA". It matches the Rfam family "Bacterial small subunit ribosomal RNA", at positions 1 to 88 of the family's 1533-position model. RNAcentral also lists the same sequence under 1 other name. Lineage: Bacteria; Pseudomonadati; Pseudomonadota; Gammaproteobacteria; Enterobacterales; Enterobacteriaceae. The record is from RNAcentral.
UUUAAUUGAAGAGUUUGAUCAUGGCUCAGAUUGAACGCUGGCGGCAGGCCUAACACAUGCAAGUCGAACGGUAACAGGAAGCAGCUUGCUGCUU